This 270-nucleotide ribosomal RNA is filed under the name uncultured bacterium. Its description in RNAcentral is "partial 16S ribosomal RNA". It matches the Rfam family "Bacterial small subunit ribosomal RNA", at positions 793 to 1055 of the family's 1533-position model. The record is from RNAcentral.
GUCCACGCCCUAAACUAUGGAUACUACUUAGAAGGUCCUGCAAGGGACUUUUUAACGGAGCAAAAGCGUUAAGUAUCCCGCCUGGGGAGUAUGGUCGCAAGGCUGAAACUCAAAGGAAUUGACGGGGGCUCACACAAGCGGUGGAGCAUGUUGCUUAAUUCGAUGCAACGCGAAGAACCUUACCCGGGCUCGAAAUGUACGGAUUAGCCUUAUGAAAGUAGGGUGACACCCUCACGGGUGGAACGUAUAUAGGUGUUGCAUGGCUGUCGU